UCUGACGACCAUAGUGAAGUGGAACCACCCCUUCCCAUCCCGAACAGGAACGUGAAACGCUUUUGCGCCGAUGAUAGUGGGCUUCUCGCCCGUGAAAGUAGGACAUCGUCAGAC
This 114-nucleotide ribosomal RNA is filed under the name Lautropia dentalis. The record is from RNAcentral. Lineage: Bacteria; Pseudomonadati; Pseudomonadota; Betaproteobacteria; Burkholderiales; Burkholderiaceae.